This 479-nucleotide ribosomal RNA is filed under the name Pseudomonas aeruginosa. RNAcentral describes it as "bacterial SSU rRNA". It matches the Rfam family "Bacterial small subunit ribosomal RNA", at positions 30 to 504 of the family's 1533-position model. Lineage: Bacteria; Pseudomonadati; Pseudomonadota; Gammaproteobacteria; Pseudomonadales; Pseudomonadaceae. The record is from RNAcentral.
AUUGAACGCUGGCGGCAGGCCUAACACAUGCAAGUCGAGCGGAUGAAGGGAGCUUGCUCCUGGAUUCAGCGGCGGACGGGUGAGUAAUGCCUAGGAAUCUGCCUGGUAGUGGGGGAUAACGUCCGGAAACGGGCGCUAAUACCGCAUACGUCCUGAGGGAGAAAGUGGGGGAUCUUCGGACCUCACGCUAUCAGAUGAGCCUAGGUCGGAUUAGCUAGUUGGUGGGGUAAAGGCCUACCAAGGCGACGAUCCGUAACUGGUCUGAGAGGAUGAUCAGUCACACUGGAACUGAGACACGGUCCAGACUCCUACGGGAGGCAGCAGUGGGGAAUAUUGGACAAUGGGCGAAAGCCUGAUCCAGCCAUGCCGCGUGUGUGAAGAAGGUCUUCGGAUUGUAAAGCACUUUAAGUUGGGAGGAAGGGCAGUAAGUUAAUACCUUGCUGUUUUGACGUUACCACAGAAUAAGCACCGCUAAUUCC